GAUGAACGCUGGCGGCGUGCCUAAUACAUGCAAGUCGAACGCAUAGCGAAAGGUGCUUGCACCUUUCAAGUGAGUGGCGAACGGGUGAGUAACACGUGGACAACCUGCCUCAAGGCUGGGGAUAACAUUUGGAAACAGAUGCUAAUACCGAAUAAAGCUUAGUGUCGCAUGACACAAAGUUAAAAGGCGCUUCGGCGUCACCUAGAGAUGGAUCCGCGGUGCAUUAGUUAGUUGGUGGGGUAAAGGCCUACCAAGACAAUGAUGCAUAGCCGAGUUGAGAGACUGAUCGGCCACAUUGGGACUGAGACACGGCCCAAACUCCUGCGGGAGGCUGCAGUAGGGAAUCUUCCACAAUGGGCGAAAGCCUGAUGGAGCAACGCCGCGUGUGUGAUGAAGGCUUUCGGGUCGUAAAGCACUGUUGUAUGGGAAGAACAGCUAGAAUAGGAAAUGAUUUUAGUUUGACGGUACCAGACCAGAAAGGGACGGCUAAAUACGUG
Molecule: ribosomal RNA, 497 nt
Filed under: uncultured bacterium
Lineage: Bacteria
Description: partial 16S ribosomal RNA
Rfam family: Bacterial small subunit ribosomal RNA
Source: RNAcentral